AGUGGGGAAUAUUGGACAAUGGGCGCAAGCCUGAUCCAGCCAUGCCGCGUGAGUGAUGAAGGCCCUAGGGUUGUAAAGCUCUUUCACCGGUGAAGAUAAUGACGGUAACCGGAGAAGAAGCCCCGGCUAACUUCGUGCCAGCAGCCGCGGUAAUACGAAGGGGGCUAGCGUUGUUCGGAUUUACUGGGCGUAAAGCGCACGUAGGCGGACUAUUAAGUCAGGGGUGAAAUCCCGGGGCUCAACCCCGGAACUGCCUUUGAUACUGGUAGUCUUGAGUUCGAGAGAGGUGAGUGGAAUUCCGAGUGUAGAGGUGAAAUUCGUAGAUAUUCGGAGGAACACCAGUGGCGAAGGCGGCUCACUGGCUCGAUACUGACGCUGAGGUGCGAAAGCGUGGGGAGCAAA
This 402-nucleotide ribosomal RNA is filed under the name uncultured Phyllobacterium sp. Its description in RNAcentral is "bacterial SSU rRNA". It matches the Rfam family "Bacterial small subunit ribosomal RNA", at positions 353 to 772 of the family's 1533-position model. The record is from RNAcentral. Lineage: Bacteria; Pseudomonadati; Pseudomonadota; Alphaproteobacteria; Hyphomicrobiales; Phyllobacteriaceae.